RNAcentral lists this ribosomal RNA (489 nucleotides) under uncultured bacterium. RNAcentral's name for it is "partial 16S ribosomal RNA". It matches the Rfam family "Bacterial small subunit ribosomal RNA", at positions 899 to 1397 of the family's 1533-position model. The record is from RNAcentral.
ACUCAAAGGAAUAGACGGGGGCCCGCACAAGCAGCGGAGCGUGUGGUUUAAUUCGAUGCAACGCGCAGAACCUCACCUAGGCUUGACAUGCCCCAAGUAGAACCCUGAAAGGGGAACGACUCGUCGAGGCGAGAGGGGGCACAGAUGCUGCAUGGCUGUCGUCAGCUCGUGCCGUGAGGUGUUGGGUUAAGUCCCGCAACGAGCGCAACCCUCGCUGGUAGUUACCAUGUCUACCGGGACCGCCGGUAUCAAACCGGAGGAAGGUGGGGAUGACGUCAAGUCAGCACGGCUCUUACGCCUAGGGCUACACACACGCUACAAUGGCCGGUACAAUGGGACGCCAAGGGGUGACCCGGAGCUAAUCCUAUCAAAGCCGGUCUCAGUUGGGAUUGCAGGCUGCAACUCGCCUGCAUGAACGCGGAGUUGCUAGUAACCGCAGGUCAGCACACUGCGGUGAAUACGUUCCCGGGCCUUGUACACACCGCCCGU